AUGAGGCCGGGGGGGGAAGUUAUGGGGCGGGUGGGCGGGGAGCUAUGGGGCAGGGGGGACAGUUAUGGGGCGGGGGGGGAGUUUGUGGGGUGGGGGGGGAGUUAUGGCGGGGGGGGAGUUAUGGGGUGGGGAGGGAAGUUAUGGGGCAGUAAAUGGGGAAGGACGGAAAGAACACGGGGAAACACGGAACGGAACCAACACGACACGGGAACGGGGGGGGACAGCACGGGAAUAACAUGGGACUACAUGGGAAGGACAUGGGAACUACAUGGGAAUGACACGGGAAGGACAUGGGAACUACAUGGGAAGGACAUGGGAACUACAUGGGAAGGACACGGGAAACACAUGGGAAGGACACGGGAAGGGGGGGUCAUAUGUGGGGUAUGGGAACAUGGGAAGAACAUGGGAAGAACAUGGGAAGAGUGGGGUCAUAUGUGGGGUGUGGGAACAUGGGAAGAACAUGGGAACAUAUGGGAACUACAUGGGAAGAACAUGGGAACAUACGGGAACUACAUGGGAAUGACAUGGGAACUACAUGGGAAGGACAUGGGAAACACAUGGGAAGGACAUGGGAAGGGGGGUCAUAUGUGGGGUAUGGAAACAUGGGAACUACAUGGAAGGACAUGGGAAGGACACGGGAAUGACAUGGGAAGGACAUGGGAAGGGGGGGUCAUAUGUGGGGUGUGGGAACAUGGGAAGAACAUGGGAAGAACAUGGGAACUACAUGGGAAGGGGGGUCAUAUGUGGGGUAUGGGAACAUGGAAAGGACACGGGAAGGGGGGAUUCAUAUGUGAGGACAUGGGAACAACAUGGGAAGAACAUGGGAACAACACGGGAACAACAUGGGAACAACACGGGAACAACACGGGAAGAACAUGGGAAGAACAUGGGAACAACACGGGAACAACAUGGGAAGCACACCCCCCCAGUAAUAGGCCUCAUUAGCAUGUAAUUAGCAUCCUAUGAAUGAACACCCCCAAUAAUGAGAGUCCUCAUUAAUAUGUAAUUAGCCUUCCCAUAAUGAGAGUCCUCAUUAAUAUGCAAUUAGCACCCCCCCCCAAUGAAAGGCCUCAUUAAUAUGCAAUUCCCCCCCCCCAAGCCUCAUUAAUAUGUAAUUAGCCCUACAAUAAAUGCCCCCCCAUAAUGAAAGGCCUCA
RNAcentral lists this long non-coding RNA (1156 nucleotides) under Coturnix japonica (Japanese quail). RNAcentral describes it as "lncRNA (ENSCJPG00005002555.1)". Lineage: Eukaryota; Metazoa; Chordata; Aves; Galliformes; Phasianidae. The record is from RNAcentral.